CGGGUUGUUGCUGGCCCCAAACCGGGCACGUGCACGCCCUGUUUACGCAUCCACUCACACCUGUGCACCCUCUGUAGUUCUGUGGACCGGGAGACGUCGUCUUCCUUCCGUGGCUCUACGUCUUUACACACACGCCGUAGCGAAGUCUCAUGGAAUGUUUUUCGCGUUUAACGCAAUACAAUACAACUUUCAGCAACGGAUCUCUUGGCUCUCGCAUCGAUGAAGAACGCAGCGAAAUGCGAUAAGUAAUGUGAAUUGCAGAAUUCAGUGAAUCAUCGAAUCUUUGAACGCACCUUGCGCCCCUUGGUUAUUCCUCGGGGCAUGCCUGUUUGAGUAUCAUGAACACCUCAACUCUCGUGGUCUUCCAUGAUGAGCUUGGACUUUGGGGGUUUGCUGGCCCUGUGGCCGGCUCCUCUCAAACGAAUCAGCUUGCCAGUGUUUGGCGGCGUCACGGGUGUGAUAACCAUCUACGCUUGCGAUCGCCUGCCAGAUAACCCUCAGCGAUGAAGGUUCAUUGGGGCUCACAAAAGUCUCUCCACGGCGAGGACAAAUUUUGAAUGUUCGAUCUCAAAUCAGGUAGGACUACCCGCUGAACUUAAGCAUAUCAAUAAGCGGAGGAAAAGAAACUAACAAGGAUUCCCCUAGUAACUGCGAGUGAAGCGGGAAGAGCUCAAAUUUAAAAUCUGGCGUGCCUCCGUCGUCCGAAUUGUAGUCUGGAGAAGCGUUUUCGUGCUGGACCGUUCCG
RNAcentral lists this ribosomal RNA (745 nucleotides) under uncultured Tomentella. Its description in RNAcentral is "eukaryotic LSU rRNA". The stretch from base 185 to 339 matches the Rfam family "5.8S ribosomal RNA". The record is from RNAcentral. Lineage: Eukaryota; Fungi; Basidiomycota; Agaricomycetes; Thelephorales; Thelephoraceae.